GGGAGGUGGGAGGACAAAUGAAGACAACAUUGGGAGAAUGAGGAAAAAGGCUUUACUGGGAGGUGGCUUUUGAGAUACCCUUUGAAAAUAAGGAGGAUUCUGGCAGAAAUGGAGAAAGGAAGAGCUCAGGUCUGAACUCAAGUCA
This is a long non-coding RNA of Leopardus geoffroyi (Geoffroy's cat), 145 nucleotides long. RefSeq lists it as uncharacterized. The transcript is spliced from 3 exons. The record is from RefSeq and is a predicted model, not a curated record. NCBI's taxonomy places the organism in Eukaryota, Metazoa, Chordata, Mammalia, Carnivora, Felidae.